This 847-nucleotide ribosomal RNA is filed under the name uncultured eukaryote. RNAcentral's name for it is "SSU rRNA". It matches the Rfam family "Eukaryotic small subunit ribosomal RNA", at positions 582 to 1455 of the family's 1831-position model. The record is from RNAcentral.
AUUCCAGCUCCAAUAGCGUAUAUUAAAGUUGUUGCGGUAAAAAAGCUCGUAGUUGGAUUUCUGUUGAAGACGUCCGGUCCAUACCACGUAUGCGCAUCUGGCUCGGCUUCGGCAUCCUCUCGAAAGACGUUUCUGCGCUUGAUUGCGUGGAGCGGAUCUCGGGACUUUUACUUUGAGGAAAUUAGAGUGUUCACGGCAGGCUAUCGCCAGAAUACAUUAGCAUGGAAUAAUACUAUAGGAUCUCGGUUCUAUUUUGUUGGUUUCUAGAAUUGAGAUAAUGAUUAAUAGGGACAAUUGGGGCAUUCGUAUCAACACGUUAGAGGUGAAAUUCUUGGAUCGUGUUGCGACGAACUACUGCGAAAGCAUUUGCCAAGGAUGUUUUCAUUGAUCAAGAACGAAAGUAAGGGGAUCGAAGACGAUUAGAUACCGUCGUAGUCUUUACCAUAAACUAUGCCAACUAGAGAUGGGACAUCGUUCACUUAAGACUUGUUCCGCACCUUAUGAGAUAUCAAAGUCUUUGGGUUCCGGGGGGAGUAUGGUCGCAAGUCUGAAACUUAAAGGAAUUGACGGAAGGGCACCACCAGGAGUGGAGCCUGCGGCUUAAUUUGACUCAACACGGGGAAACUCACCAGGUCCAGACAUAAUAAGGAUUGACAGAUUGAUAGCUCUUUCUUGAUUUUAUGGGUGGUGGUGCAUGGCCGUUCUUAGUUCGUGGAGUGAUUUGUCUGCUUAAUUGCGUUAACGAACGAGACCUUAACCUGCUAAAUAGGAGCGCCUAUCUCCGGAUAAGCGCCUUUCUUCUUAGAGGGACUUUAUGCGUUUCAGCAUGAGGAAGUUUGAGGCUAAA